Molecule: transfer RNA, 85 nt
Organism: Pseudomassariella vexata
Lineage: Eukaryota; Fungi; Ascomycota; Sordariomycetes; Amphisphaeriales; Pseudomassariaceae
Rfam family: tRNA
About the family: Transfer RNA (tRNA) molecules are approximately 80 nucleotides in length. Their secondary structure includes four short double-helical elements and three loops (D, anti-codon, and T loops). Further hydrogen bonds mediate the characteristic L-shaped molecular structure. tRNAs have two regions of fundamental functional importance: the anti-codon, which is responsible for specific mRNA codon recognition, and the 3' end, to which the tRNAs corresponding amino acid is attached (by aminoacyl-tRNA synthetases). tRNAs cope with the degeneracy of the genetic code in two manners: having more than one tRNA (with a specific anti-codon) for a particular amino acid; and 'wobble' base-pairing, i.e. permitting non-standard base-pairing at the 3rd anti-codon position.
Source: Rfam
GGUUGUGUAGUGUAGUGGUUAGCACGUGGGAUUUUGAUUCAAAAUGAAUAUUCCCGAGUCGGGAGUUCGAGCCUCCCCACGACCU